GGAGAUUUAGCUCAGCGGCAUAAGUGCCUGCCUUGCAAGCAGGUAGUCGUGGGUUCGAUCCCCAGUACCA
Molecule: transfer RNA, 70 nt
Filed under: Cavia porcellus (domestic guinea pig)
Lineage: Eukaryota; Metazoa; Chordata; Mammalia; Rodentia; Caviidae
Rfam family: tRNA
About the family: Transfer RNA (tRNA) molecules are approximately 80 nucleotides in length. Their secondary structure includes four short double-helical elements and three loops (D, anti-codon, and T loops).
Source: Rfam by way of RNAcentral